This 491-nucleotide ribosomal RNA is filed under the name uncultured bacterium. Its description in RNAcentral is "partial 16S ribosomal RNA". It matches the Rfam family "Bacterial small subunit ribosomal RNA", at positions 29 to 506 of the family's 1533-position model. The record is from RNAcentral.
AAUGAACGCUGGCGGUAGGCCUAACACAUGCAAGUCGAACGGCAACACCAUAAGAGCUUGCUCUUACCGGUGGCGGGGGGCGGGCGGGUGAGGAAUACAUCGGAAACUUCUUUUUCGUGGGGGAUAACGGAGGGAAAAUUACGCUACUACCGCAUACAUCCUACGGGUUGAAGCAGGGGAUCUUCGGACCUUUGGCGAUUGAAUUAGCCGAGUUCGGGUUGCUUAGUUGGGGGGGUAAAGGCCCACCAAGGCGAGGCUCCGUUGCUGGCCUGAGAGGAUGGCCAGCAAAACGGGAACGGGGAAACGGCCAAGAUCCCUACGGGAGGCAGCAGUGGGGAAUAUUGGAAAAUGGGCGCAAGCCUGAUCCAGCCAGACCGCGUGGGUGAAGAAGGCCUUCGGGUUGUAAAGUCCUUUUGUUGGGAAAGAAAAGCAGCAGGUUAACACCGCGCUGUUCUGACGGUACCAAAAGAAUAAGCACCGCCUAACUUCGG